ACCUGGCUGGCUCAGUCGGAAGAGCACGUGACUCUUGAUCUUGGGGUUGUGAGUUUGAGCCCCACGUUGGGUG
This 73-nucleotide transfer RNA is filed under the name Ailuropoda melanoleuca (giant panda). It matches the Rfam family "tRNA". Rfam says of the family: Transfer RNA (tRNA) molecules are approximately 80 nucleotides in length. Their secondary structure includes four short double-helical elements and three loops (D, anti-codon, and T loops). Further hydrogen bonds mediate the characteristic L-shaped molecular structure. tRNAs have two regions of fundamental functional importance: the anti-codon, which is responsible for specific mRNA codon recognition, and the 3' end, to which the tRNAs corresponding amino acid is attached (by aminoacyl-tRNA synthetases). tRNAs cope with the degeneracy of the genetic code in two manners: having more than one tRNA (with a specific anti-codon) for a particular amino acid; and 'wobble' base-pairing, i.e. permitting non-standard base-pairing at the 3rd anti-codon position. Lineage: Eukaryota; Metazoa; Chordata; Mammalia; Carnivora; Ursidae. The record is from Rfam by way of RNAcentral.